AUGGCCUUCUACCUGGCGUCCCUGCCUCAGGGCUCCCCACUAAGACGUGUCCUCCACACAGGCCCAGAGACUACUCUAGAGCACAGGCCCAGGGAGCCGCAUUACUUCCAUCGAUCUCUGCAAAGAGCCAGAAUCCAAUGGCUUCCCCCAUCACCCCAAGCAUCGAAUAGCAAAUCCUCUGUUGGACAUCUCAAAAUCCCCACAAAGCGGCCCUAUGCAGCCUCAUUAUCCACCAAGCUGUGCACUCUCUGUCUCUCUCUCUCCUUCCCUCUGCUCUCUUUUCUGUCUCUCUCUGUCUCCCCCCCCCCUUAUGUAUUUCUCCCCCUUUUUCUCUGUCCUUUCUCUCUGUCUCUCCCCUUCCCUCUCUUUUCUGUCUCUCCCUCUCUUUUCUCUCUCUCUCUCUGUCUCUCCCCUUCCCUCUCUUUUCUGUCUCUCCCUUUCUUUUCUCUCUCUCUCCCCUCUCUUUCUCUCCUCUCUCUCCCUCUCUGUCUCUCUCUCCCUUUUCUCUCUCUCCUCCCUUUCUCUCCUCUCCCUCCCUCUCUGUCUCCCUUCCUCCUUCCCUUUCCUUCCUUCUCUCUGUCUCUGUCUCUCUCUCCCUUCUCUCUCUCUCCUCCCUUUCUCUCCUCUCUCUCCCUCUCUGUUUCCCUUCCUCCUUCCCUCCCUCUCCUUCAUCUCCCACCUUUCUGCCUUUGCUCUUGCUAUCCCCUGGGCCUAGGACGCACCCUUUCUUCAUCUCAAGGCUCAGCUCAAACAUCCCCUCCUCCAUGA
RNAcentral lists this long non-coding RNA (768 nucleotides) under Monodelphis domestica (gray short-tailed opossum). RNAcentral describes it as "lncRNA (ENSMODG00000051268.1)". The record is from RNAcentral. Lineage: Eukaryota; Metazoa; Chordata; Mammalia; Didelphimorphia; Didelphidae.